GGCGCGGGAGCGCAGUUGGUAGAGCAACGGAUUGAAGCUCCAUGUGUCGGCGGUUCGAUUCCGUCUCGCGCCC
RNAcentral lists this transfer RNA (73 nucleotides) under Schaalia georgiae. Its description in RNAcentral is "Actinomyces georgiae tRNA-Phe". It matches the Rfam family "tRNA". From Rfam's summary of the family: Transfer RNA (tRNA) molecules are approximately 80 nucleotides in length. Their secondary structure includes four short double-helical elements and three loops (D, anti-codon, and T loops). The record is from RNAcentral. Lineage: Bacteria; Bacillati; Actinomycetota; Actinomycetes; Actinomycetales; Actinomycetaceae.